GCCGCCGCGGCGUCGCCCCUGCCGCUCCGGCCCCGAACUGCUGCCCAGUUGACGGAGAAGAAUAUGGCCGCCGCGGUGGCGCUGCCAUCGCCGUGGCGGGAUCCGUUCGAUUCGAGGUCCUUUCCGGCGGUCAUGGCCAUGACCAGUGAUAGUUUAGGUCAGUGCUAGCCAAUGUGCAGGUGGAAUUCAGAAAAUUGUAUCUGCUACUUCAUCCACAGGAUUUACGACAAUCCGUCAGUCGUCAGAAGCAUUCUACGGUCGAUGUGUGGAUCAUCUGGGGUGUAUAACAUGAGAGAGGCGGUCAGAUUUUUUUCUCAGGUAUUUCUCAACCAGCUGCUUUGGUGGAGUGACCUUGGUAUCCAUGCAUAUGACAUGAGAUCACUCAGCCAACUCUUCACCAUUCAACAGCCAUGUCAAAACUGCCAUUGCAGUUCAGUGCAGCACCUGACACUGGCUUGUAGCACUCCCUUAGUUGGCCUAGUGAUGUGUGAUGGCUUUCCCUGUCUCAGAGAGUUUCAGAGAAGUGCAGUAUUAAACCUUUAUCAGGUAAUUACUGAGUAAAUUUUCUCCAUGUAUUGAUGUUCUUAGCUACACACAGAACACUUUACUCAUUUCCUUGAAAGGUACAGUAUGUAAGACCUUGUAACCAAAACAGCUGAUUGCUUACUAAAGUACACCUCAUGAGCAGACAACAGACUGGUGAAUUUUGAUUUAUC
Oryza brachyantha (malo sina) is the source of this 716-nucleotide long non-coding RNA. RefSeq lists it as uncharacterized. The record is from RefSeq and is a predicted model, not a curated record. The transcript has 4 exons. Lineage: Eukaryota; Viridiplantae; Streptophyta; Magnoliopsida; Poales; Poaceae.